Molecule: ribosomal RNA, 253 nt
Filed under: uncultured bacterium
Lineage: Bacteria
Description: partial 16S ribosomal RNA
Rfam family: Bacterial small subunit ribosomal RNA
Source: RNAcentral
GACAGAGGGUGCGAACGUUGUUCGGAAUUACUGGGCGUAAAGCGCGUGCAGGCGGCUCGAUAAGUCGGAUGUGAAAGCCCUGGGCUCAACCUAGGAAGUGCAUUCGAAACUGCUGAGCUUGAGUUCUGGAGAGGAAGGCGGAAUUCUCGGUGUAGAGGUGAAAUUCGUAGAUAUCGAGAGGAACACCGGUGGCGAAGGCGGCCUUCUGGACAGCAACUGACGCUGAGACGCGAAAGCGUGGGGAGCAAACAGG